Molecule: long non-coding RNA, 402 nt
Organism: Dendroctonus ponderosae (mountain pine beetle)
Lineage: Eukaryota; Metazoa; Arthropoda; Insecta; Coleoptera; Curculionidae
Exons: 2
Source: RefSeq, a predicted model, not a curated record
UCCCUCCGAAUUUGCAGUUUUGUUUAUUCUAACCUUACAGAAGACUUUCCUUGACGGCCAUUUGCACCAGUCCACAAAAUAUCCCUUCUAUGGGGUAUGUUCUGUGCACCAGUCUUCCUUAAAACUUAUUCUUAGCUAGGGAUAACUUUGGAUUAAGGUUAACCCUAACUACAGACAGCUUUGCACCAGGAUAAAAUGAAUACAAGAUUAGCACAGUUGCCAGUUGUGCAAUAAAGUAUAGCGUUAGCUGAAAAUGUAUCCUUGCAGAAAUAGUACAUUACGAUUCAAGAGACGGAAGUCCAAACAAUGACCCAAUGUUAAUUUCCUAUUAUUUACGACGGAAUAUGCGGUUUGUGGUGCCGCGGAUGAUAUGUAAAUUUUAAUACAAAUGAAAUUACUGCA